CGGCAGACCGCAAGGAUGGCGGCAGGGCAGGGCGGGUGGCUCCGGCCCGCGCUGGGGCUUCGCUUACUGCUGGCGACUGCGUUUCAAGCGGUGUCUGCUCUUGGGGCAGAGUUCUCGUCAGAGGCAUGCCGGGAGUUGGGCUUCUCCAGCAACUUGCUCUGCAGCUCCUGCGAUCUCCUUGGACAGUUUAACCUGCUUCCACUGGAUCCUGUCUGCAGAGGCUGCUGUCAGGAAGAAGCGCAGUUUGAAACCAAAAAGCUUUUGUCAGAAGCGAUAAACCCAAACUGUUCAGAGGUCUACAGAUCAAGUAUGUUCGAGGCUCAGACCCUGUACUAAAGCUUUUGGACGACAACGGGAACAUUGCUGAAGAGCUCAGCAUCCUCAAGUGGAACACAGACAGUGUGGAAGAGUUCCUGAGCGAGAAGCUGGAACGCAUAUAAGCCGUGCUCAGUUGUCCGUCUGUCACUUACCACAUGAGCUGUCACUGCUCCUAGGAAACCCCUUAGCUUUGCUCACAGUGGUCUCUGUUUUACGUGCACCAUCACUUAGUUCUGCAUGCUUACAGUGGUCAUCGUUUAUGUGCGGCAUCAGUCUUCUGAUUCGAAGCUGAAGUAGCCCCACAGCCCAUAAUGUUAAGGAUCUGGCAAGGUUAACAAACCCAACUCUUAGAAAUCUCUCUUCUUCUGCACUUGCUGAUAUCACCAGUGAAAUGCUUUGUAAAGAGGCAUCUGGUUAAUUAUGCUAAUAAUAGUUGGUGAUAAUUGGUCCAGUUUUACAAACAACAGAAUUUAAAUGGAGGAGUUAAUAAAGGAGGUGCCUCCCUUGCUAUGUGCUCUUUGAAAGU
This 844-nucleotide long non-coding RNA is filed under the name Rattus norvegicus (Norway rat). Its description in RNAcentral is "long non-coding RNA NONRATT015836". Lineage: Eukaryota; Metazoa; Chordata; Mammalia; Rodentia; Muridae. The record is from RNAcentral.